GACGAACGCUGGCGGCGUGCCUAAUACAUGCAAGUCGAACGAACCGCGACUAGGUGCUUGCACUUGGUCAAGGUGAGUGGCGAACGGGUGAGUAACACGUGGGUAACCUACCUCAUAGUGGGGGAUAACAGUCGGAAACGACUGCUAAUACCGCAUAGGACAUAGGAUAACAUGAUCCAGUGAGGAAAGGUGGCGCAAGCUAUCGCUAAGAGAUGGACCCGCGGUGCAUUAGCUAGUUGGUAGGGUAAAGGCCUACCAAGGCGAUGAUGCAUAGCCGACCUGAGAGGGUGAUCGGCCACAUUGGGACUGAGACACGGCCCAAACUCCUACGGGAGGCAGCAGUAGGGAAUCUUCCGCAAUGGACGCAAGUCUGACGGAGCAACGCCGCGUGAGUGAAGAAGGUCUUCGGAUCGUAAAGCUCUGUUGUUAGAGAAGAACAGCGCAUAGAGUAACUGUUAUGCGUGUGACGGUAUCUAACCAGAAAGCCACGGCUAACUACGUG
Molecule: ribosomal RNA, 502 nt
Filed under: uncultured bacterium
Lineage: Bacteria
Description: partial 16S ribosomal RNA
Rfam family: Bacterial small subunit ribosomal RNA
Source: RNAcentral